Molecule: ribosomal RNA, 389 nt
Filed under: uncultured bacterium
Lineage: Bacteria
Description: bacterial SSU rRNA
Rfam family: Bacterial small subunit ribosomal RNA
Source: RNAcentral
GAUGAACGCUGGCGGCGUGCCUAACACAUGCAAGUCGAGCGAUUCUCUUCGGAGAAGAGCGGCGGACGGGUGAGUAACGCGUGGGUAACCUGCCCUGUACACACGGAUAACAUACCGAAAGGUAUGCUAAUACGAGAUAAUAUACUUUUAUCGCAUGGUAGAAGUAUCAAAGCUCCGGCGGUACAGGAUGGACCCGCGUCUGAUUAGCUAGUUGGUAAGGUAACGGCUUACCAAGGCGACGAUCAGUAGCCGACCUGAGAGGGUGAUCGGCCACAUUGGAACUGAGACACGGUCCCAACUCCUACGGAGGCAGCAGUGGGGAAUAUUGCACAAUGGGCGAAAGCCUGAUGCAGCAACGCCGCGUGAGCGAUGAAGGCCUCGGUCGUAAG